AACGCACAUUGCGCCCUCUGGUAUUCCGGAGGGCAUGCCUGUUCGAGCGUCAUUAUCAACCCUCAAGCUCGGCUUGCUGUUGGGUCUCGCCGUUGCAGAACGGCGGAUCCCCAAAGAUAAUGGCAGAGUCUGUAAGACCCUGGAUGCAGCGAGCUUCUAGCACGCAUCCGGACGGUGUUCAGGCUUGGUCUUAACCCACACAAUCUUCUGGUUGACCUCGGAUCAGGCAGGGAUACCCGCUGAACUUAA
RNAcentral lists this unclassified non-coding RNA (249 nucleotides) under uncultured Verrucaria. RNAcentral's name for it is "sequence contains ITS2". The stretch from base 1 to 52 matches the Rfam family "5.8S ribosomal RNA", at positions 103 to 154 of the family's 154-position model. Lineage: Eukaryota; Fungi; Ascomycota; Eurotiomycetes; Verrucariales; Verrucariaceae. The record is from RNAcentral.